Molecule: long non-coding RNA, 888 nt
Organism: Gadus morhua (Atlantic cod)
Lineage: Eukaryota; Metazoa; Chordata; Actinopteri; Gadiformes; Gadidae
Exons: 3
Source: RefSeq, a predicted model, not a curated record
AUCUUUAUUUAUUCUGUGUGGAAAUAGUAACAUAGUUACGCCAUUAAAUGCUUUUAUGUGUAGCAGGUAGGACGGUAGUGAUGGGUAAUGCACCUUGGCCCCUCCCACUGGCAAUAAUCUAGAUCAGGUGGCACAUGUGACACGUCUUAAAAGAGGUGCGAACUCAGUAUUGGUGAAAAGACGGUGGAAGUAAAAGCCCCCGUAGCAGCUGCGUAAACGGAACCUUCAGCCUGGUGUCUGCAUGUAACCCUGGCUUGGUGUCUUUUUCUAUGGUGACCAGUAAAUGGUGCACACAACCACGAGUCUACUGACACCUGAGCGCAUAACAGCGAUUGGGACAGAAAGCUCACGUCAGGUGAGAGUGCACUGCUUCGCGUCAUCCACACAAGCAUUGGUACAGGAGUUGUAGGUCUAGUUCAUCAAGGCUGGCCCAAACACGAGGAUUGCCGUCGUCUGUUCGACCAGCCACUGUUUUUCCCAGGACCGAAUUUGUUUACUUGUAUCUAUUUGAAUGUAACCUUGCUACGAGUGCUAUAACUAUUUGAAUGUAACCUUGCUACGAGUGCUAUAACUAUUUGAAUGUAACCUUGCUACGAGUGCUAUAACUAUUUGAAUGUAACCUUGCUACGAGUGCUAUAAACAUCUGCCACUCGUAUCGUGGGUUAAUUGGGAGACUAGGGGGAAGGCCGGCUAGUGGUAGCCCUUUAACCCAAAUUGUUUUGUCUUUUGUUUGUUUUGUUUAUUAUAUCUUUCUUGUGUGGCCCAUGGGCAUUUUUACAUCAUCUCUUGUGGGAACAGUAUUUGUUUUCAGUGUUUUAGUGUUUGAUUUUCAUUUGCUGCUAACUGCAUGUUCAUUGAUUAUUGUAUAAUAAAUGUUUAUUGAUUGCA